UGAUUCAGAAGUCUUGGAUCCUGGGGU
RNAcentral lists this small RNA (27 nucleotides) under Bombyx mori (domestic silkworm). RNAcentral describes it as "ovarian small RNA-33049". The record is from RNAcentral. Lineage: Eukaryota; Metazoa; Arthropoda; Insecta; Lepidoptera; Bombycidae.